RNAcentral lists this long non-coding RNA (1303 nucleotides) under Homo sapiens (human). RNAcentral's name for it is "HSALNT0389908". The record is from RNAcentral. Lineage: Eukaryota; Metazoa; Chordata; Mammalia; Primates; Hominidae.
CUCCAGGCACUCGGGGCCACUACCUGUCUGUCUCCGCGCUUUGGUGGCAGUGGUCCCCCGGGCCCAGCUGUCUUUCUUCCUAUCUCUUUGUCUUCUGUCUUUAUCUCUUCGAUCUCUCGUCUCCGCACACACGCGAAGAGAAAACCCACAGACCCGGUAGGGGUGGACCCUACAUUAUCUCAGCUACAACAUAAUCAGGAUAUUCACGUGGACUACUGAGUCUUUCGGUGCCCCCUUGCUGUUUUAGUUUUGUCCUGCGGCCGAGUGUUUCCCUCGCUUCACGCCAACACAAUCUCCGCCGCCCUGUCUUGUCAUCCCCAUUCUACAGCCCAGCACGGUGUAGUAUGGCAGCCGCUAGCCACAGGUAUCUAGGGAGCCCUGGAAAUGUGGUCAGUUCUAAUGGAGCUGUGCUGUAAGUGUGAAAUACACGUGGGAUUUUGACGGCAGUGGGAGCAAAAUUCUCCCAAUUUUUUUUUUUUUUUUUUUUUUUUUUCAGACGGAGGUUCCGCUCUUGUUACCCAGCCUGGAGUCCAAUGGCGCGAUCUAGGCUCUCUGCAACCUCCGCCUCCCGGGUUCAAGCGAUUCCCCUGCCUCAGCCUCCCGAGCAGCUGGGACUACAGGCAUGUGCCACCACGCCCGGCUAACUUUGUAUUUUUAGUACAGAUGGGGUUUCUCCACGUUGCUCAGGCUGGUCUCCAACUCCCGACCUCCGGUGAUCUGCCCAGCUGCCGCCUCCCAAAGUGUUGCUUGCGAUUACAGGCUUGAGCCACCGCUCACCCUGGCUUUUUUUUUUUUUUUUCCAGACAAACUCUCGCUCUGUCGCCCAGGCUGGAGUGCAGUGGCGCGAUCUCGGCUCACUGCAGCCUCUACCUCCCGGGUUCCAGCGAUUCUCCUGCCUCAGCCUCCUGGGUAGCUGGGAUUACAGGCGCAGGCCACCACGCCCGGCUAAUUUUUGUAUUUUUAGGGGGUUUCGCCAUGUCGGCCAGGCUGGUCUCGAGCUCCUGACCUCAGGCGAUCCGCCCGCCUCGGCCUCCCAAAGCGCUGGGAUUACAGGCGUAAGCCACCGCGCCGGGCUCUUUCAUUCUGUCUUUAUUUUCUGAGAUAGAGUCUCGCUCGGACGCUCAGGUUGGACUGCAACGGCGUGAUCUCGGCUCGCUGAAACUUCCGCCUCCCGGGUUCAAGCGAUUCUCCUGUCUCAGCCUCCCGAGUAGCUGGGAUUAUUGACGGGCAGCACCACGCCCGGCUACUUUUUGUGGUUUUUGUAUCUUCUGUCUUCUGCUCUUUACUACCGCAUAGAGCCGCA